GACGAACGCUGGCGGCGUGCUUAACACAUGCAAGUCGAACGGUGAAGCGCCUUCCUUUUUGGUGGGUGUGGAUGAGUGGCGAACGGGUGAGUAACACGUGAGUAACCUGCCCCCUUCUUCUGGAUAACCGCAUGAAAGUGUGGCUAAUACGGGAUAUUCUGGGUCUGUCGCAUGAUGGGUCUGGGAAAGAUAUUGUUUCGGUGGGGGAUGGGCUCGCGGCCUAUCAGCUUGUUGGUGGGGUGAUGGCCUACCAAGGCGGUGACGGGUAGCCGGCCUGAGAGGGUGGACGGUCACACUGGGACUGAGACACGGCCCAGACUGCUACGGGGGGCAGCAGUGGGGAAUAUUGCACAAUGGGGGCAAGCCUGAUGCAGCGACGCCGCGUGAGGGAUGGAGGCCUUCGGGGUGUGAACCUCUUUCGCCAGUGAAGCAGGCCUGCCUCGUUUGUGGGUGGGUUGACGGUAGCUGGAUAAGAAGCGCCGGCUAACUACGUG
This 494-nucleotide ribosomal RNA is filed under the name uncultured bacterium. Its description in RNAcentral is "partial 16S ribosomal RNA". It matches the Rfam family "Bacterial small subunit ribosomal RNA", at positions 28 to 507 of the family's 1533-position model. The record is from RNAcentral.